UUUGAAAACGGGAGAAUCAGUUCAGACUGAAGAGGAAUGGAUCCCUGCAACUAAUCCUGCCAAGUGCUAAAUAUACCGAAGAGCAGUGCUUUGCUGCACAUAUCUGCAGUGGCGUAGCAGGAGAAGGGAAUCUCGUGUGAACUCCAGAGACAGGGUGUAAGUUUUGUGAGGACAGCUGUCAUCCUGGCCAGAGAAUGUAUGUGUGCCAUACAGGUGAUGUGUGACCUGGAGCCUGCAGCCUAAAAGAAGCUCUUGCUAAGUGAGCUGGAAAAAGAACAAAAGAGGCCUCUGCUACGGGUGUUCAGUGGGGAAAACCAGGUAUGUUCCAUCACUGAAAGGACUUGCACUGGCAGGGCAAUCCCAGUGGUUCGUGCUUUUAAUAUGUUCCUACAAGAGACCUAAAGAUGGCACCUGAGGUAUAGCACUGCUAAGGGAGGCAGAGGGACACGAAGAAAGUUCAGCUCUCUGUAUUCAGAGGUAAACUGGAAAAGGUCAAGCACGAUGGUGGCCCAUGAACAACCGGACACUGAAUAUUGCCAGAUACAUGUAGUGACAUGAGCAAGAAACAAUCCUGUGGUAAAGAGAUGGGGUCAUAUAAGAAUCCCGGAGUCAGA
RNAcentral lists this long non-coding RNA (614 nucleotides) under Chrysolophus pictus (golden pheasant). RNAcentral describes it as "lncRNA (ENSCPIG00010006097.1)". Lineage: Eukaryota; Metazoa; Chordata; Aves; Galliformes; Phasianidae. The record is from RNAcentral.